AGUCGAAGGAUCGGCCAGCCGCCUGGAUA
RNAcentral lists this small RNA (29 nucleotides) under Bombyx mori (domestic silkworm). RNAcentral describes it as "ovarian small RNA-12274". The record is from RNAcentral. Lineage: Eukaryota; Metazoa; Arthropoda; Insecta; Lepidoptera; Bombycidae.